GGAAACGUGCCUGAAAAACAAGGACCUCUUUGAUAGAGAGACUUAUAGGGGUUAAAAUCCCCUCGCUUCC
RNAcentral lists this transfer RNA (70 nucleotides) under Allobates nunciatus. RNAcentral describes it as "tRNA-Ile". It matches the Rfam family "tRNA". Rfam says of the family: Transfer RNA (tRNA) molecules are approximately 80 nucleotides in length. Their secondary structure includes four short double-helical elements and three loops (D, anti-codon, and T loops). Further hydrogen bonds mediate the characteristic L-shaped molecular structure. tRNAs have two regions of fundamental functional importance: the anti-codon, which is responsible for specific mRNA codon recognition, and the 3' end, to which the tRNAs corresponding amino acid is attached (by aminoacyl-tRNA synthetases). tRNAs cope with the degeneracy of the genetic code in two manners: having more than one tRNA (with a specific anti-codon) for a particular amino acid; and 'wobble' base-pairing, i.e. permitting non-standard base-pairing at the 3rd anti-codon position. Lineage: Eukaryota; Metazoa; Chordata; Amphibia; Anura; Aromobatidae. The record is from RNAcentral.